This 930-nucleotide long non-coding RNA is filed under the name Gossypium raimondii (Peruvian cotton). RNAcentral's name for it is "long non-coding RNA (GRAI_LNC010721)". The record is from RNAcentral. Lineage: Eukaryota; Viridiplantae; Streptophyta; Magnoliopsida; Malvales; Malvaceae.
GGCCCCUCAUAGAAGAAUCUGACAUGAAACAACAAAAAAAUACAGAGAAAACACAAGGAAAAGGCGAGUGCAGAAGAAAUAAGACUGUAGUUUUUAUUUCUUCUAUUUUGCAAAAGUUACACCGAUAGUUGUGAAGUGAAUAUUGAAAGCCAAUCACAGUAGAGAAAAGAUGGUAUGUACUAAGCGCUCCACGUAAUCUUGUACCUCAUUUUAAUUUUUUCAGGUCAUUAAUACAUAAUUUUGAUAAUUUCUUUAAUCUGAAUCCCGAACCUUGAACUUUAAACUCGAAUCUUGAACCUCGAACUCGAACUUGAACCUAAACUCGAAACCUGAACCAUAAACCUCAAACUCAAACCUUGACAUGUGGUUCAAGGCCCUUUGGUUUAAGUUCGAGUUCAGAUUCCAAGUUUAGGAUUUAGAGUUUGAGAUUUGAGGUUUAGAUUAAAAAAAUUAUCAAAAUUAUGUAUCAAUAAUAUAAAAAAAUUAUUAAAAUAUCAUUAAACAAUUAAAAAGAGAUACGAGAUGAUGUGGCAACCCUAUUCAUACCAUCCUUUCUUAUCGGGGUAAAAAAGAUUGCAUGAAAUAAGAAUAUUAUUAAUUUCUAAUAGUUUUAUGUCACAUCAAUAAUUUCAUUCUAAAUUUCAGAAUUUUCAGUUGGAUUUAAUUUUUUCAAGAUAAAAAUAAUAAUGUAACAUAAAACUAUUUAAAAAAAACACAGAUAACGUAACUUCACUAUUUCAUACCAUCAAAAUCUAACGCAUCUAUUUUUACAAAACCCACCACUCAAACUACAUGCGCCAAUGUUCUUCAAAGCAUUCAUUUUUAUAGCCGCCUAAACAAAGGCUUUUUUUGCAGUUUCAACUGUUUGUCGGCACAACAACAAAAAAGUGUCAGGUUUUGGAUUGUCGGUUGUCACAUUUGGUGAAUGUU